UCCCAUCAGUAGUUUUUUCACUGAUUGCGGUCGUUAGUACUGAUCAGGCAGUCACCCUCCUCUUUGGUGUACAGAGUUGUUGACACAAAAUCCUAUUUCCUCUGCACUGAGGUCGGGCCAAUGCGACAUCUAGUUGUUAUAUGAUCUGUGGAUUCGCCGUUCUUGCAUCAAGUUCUCCACUCAGGCUCACCCAUACUUAUCUCUCUCGGCCUCUCGCCGGCCCAUAGUCAUGGAGUACCUCAGUAGUGGAGUGUAAAGCCCGGUCGAAGGUCGAACGUCAUCUAGCGAGGUUUUGUAGAGCUAUGCGUUACCUCCUGAUCAGAUGUACUCCCGCUAAGAGAGUGCUUAAUGUGCUCAAUGAGUUCUACUGAUGGGAAAAAGGUAAGUGGCAAGUCAUCACAGACACCCAAGUUUUACUUGUUUACUAGCUACCGUUGGGUUUACUCAACCCAAACAGGGAUCCCCUGCUAAAGUAGGGGGCCCAUAACACCGGGGUUGUGAGCAAUCCAGCUACAGUGGCCCAAGGUAUUUCGCAAGCAUUUAAAGAGUCCUCCUCAGUGCAGAGUAGGAGAGGAGGCCUCAAGACCCCGUGGUUCAGCGCCUAGCAUUGAGAGCUAAGGGGUCAAAUGCUCCAAAAACUGCGUAGUCCCAAAGCAAGCCAAACACCGGAGACUUGGGAGCAAUAUGCAAUAUCAAGAAUUGCAUAUCCCAAGUCUCUGAGGAGCGCCGAAUCAGCCCAUCAAAGGUUGGAAGUGGAGAACCUACUCUUUUCAUCUACAAACGUGCCAAAAAGCCCGCCACCAACCCGGAGAUUCCCGUGAGUAAAUUCCUCCUCCACUGUCAAGAACUGUUUGCAUCAACAUCAGAAACAGUAGUGGAGGAGGUCCAGGGCUGCCCAGAACCCGAGAUGGACGUGGCCUUCAAGAAGAUGAAGAGUAAAGCCCCUUAACAUCUGGGGUCUCUCCUGUCCAACUUUCACUUCUCUGGACCCAAGCCCAGUCAUUCCUUCAAGAUCUUUUCAGCCUCGCCCUCCAUUCUUCCUUCUUUCCACCAGCGUGGAUGGAGUCAGCCAUCAUCUUCAUCCAUAAGAAGGGGCCCAGGGACAUUCCAAACAACCAUCAGACCAUUGCCCUGGAGAACCCCUUCUUGAAGAUGAUGUCCACCCUACUAACUGCCCGCUUCUUCAGAUUGGCCGAGGAUAGGGAUCUCCUUCCCCAGUUCCAAUUCGGUUUCUGGAGAAGACACUCAACCAUCAUGGCAGCUACUCUCUUCUAUGAAAUUGUGCAUUCCAACAUCAGCAACAAGAGGAGAGUGUAUGGAUGCUUUGUUGAUUUCUCCAAAGCAUUUGACAGGGUGGACCAAAUUCGGUUAUUCCUCAAACUCCAACUAUGGGGAGUUCUGCGUUCAAUCUGUGUCCUGUUGUCCAACAUCUAUGCAGGACUCAGAUGCUCCAUUCAAUCUGUCUUUAUGUAUCCGACCUGCCCACUGCCCUCACCCACUGAGGCUCCACCAUCAACCAUUUUCCAGUUCAAUAUCAUCAAUAUGCAGACAAUCUGGUUCUCUUGACUAAUUCAGGUGUGGAAUUGCAAAAUGCCAUCAAUGCACUCCACGGCAAUUGCCAAGAGAACGGCCUUCAAGUCAACACCAUCGAGACGAAGGCCAUGGUUUUCCAUAAAGGUCUUCUGCCUCCCACCUCCUUCCAUAUUAGCAAUAGUCCGAUUGAAAUUGUGGAUGAUUUUAAUUAUGUCAAUUUCACAUUCUCAACUCAACUCUCCUUCACCAAUCAUCUCAAAUCAUCAAUAGUCAAAGCCAGGGCCAAGGUCGGAUACAUUUGCAAUAGACUUCCUAUCAAGAAUCUUCCCCUUGCAAUAGUUCUUCAACUCAUCCAGACUUACAUCACUCCAAUUUUCCUCUACGACCUUCACCUUUGGCUCCCAAACUCCGCCCAAUCCGCCCUCAAAUCCGCUGAUGCCACCUUCAUCAAGUUCCUCAAACAAUACUUGUGCAUGCCCCAAUUUGCCAACAAUGCAUGGACGCAUUUCCUAUGCAAAACUGAGCCCCUCACCAUCAGGCAGGCAAGGUUAGUGUCCAACAGUGUUGGGAAGCUGACCUUUCCCGAGCUGAUGUCCAGACACAAGUUGUCCUUUCUGGUCAAGGACUUGCUAACACCUUAUUGUCCUUGGCCCGACAUCCCCUUGCAGUAUUGGCAAUCACGCACCUUUGUUCGGCUCCCGGCCAAAUGCCAUCAAUGACGGGGGCUGACAAAGGAUCUGUUCAAUCUGGCCCAUCCUCAACUCUGCAAUAACCAAGAAUUUCAUAAUUUACCUUUACCUAACUGUGUUUGUACUGUCUGUGAUUCCCCUCUUCCCUCUUUUCAUGUGCAUUAAACCAAUUCUAGUCAUACUCUUUGUGAUAUCACUUUCUAGUCAACUAUUUUAUUGCCUUUACCUUCUUGACAUUUUCCUUGUUUUAUCAACAAACUCUGUAUAAUGUUUAUACAUCAUGUUUUAUUUUAUAGUUAUUUUUACGCCAUGAUAUGAUCAAGAGUCGCAAUAAAGAUUAUUAUUAUGAA
Long non-coding RNA from Tigriopus californicus, 2572 nucleotides. RefSeq lists it as uncharacterized. NCBI's taxonomy places the organism in Eukaryota, Metazoa, Arthropoda, Copepoda, Harpacticoida, Harpacticidae. The record is from RefSeq and is a predicted model, not a curated record. The transcript has 2 exons.